RNAcentral lists this ribosomal RNA (1242 nucleotides) under metagenome. RNAcentral describes it as "bacterial LSU rRNA". It matches the Rfam family "Bacterial large subunit ribosomal RNA", at positions 1564 to 2815 of the family's 2925-position model. The record is from RNAcentral.
UGAGUACGAGAUGCUACGGCAUCGAAGCAGUCUAUGUCAUACUUCCAAGAAAAGCUUGCACUGUCAUAAACAAAGAAUGCCUGUACCAUAACCGACACAGGUGGGUAGGUAGAGUAUACUAAGGGGCGCGAGAUAACUCUCUCUAAGGAACUCGGCAAAAUGACUCCGUAACUUCGGGAGAAGGAGUGCCUUAUUUCUAAGGUUGCAAUAACAAGAUCCAAGCAACUGUUUACCAAAAACACAGGUCUCCGCUAAGUCGUAAGACGAUGUAUGGGGGCUGACGCCUGCCCAGUGCCAGAAGGUUAAAGAAGUUGGUUAGCAUUAGCGAAGCUGAUAACUGAAGCCCUGGUGAACGGCGGCCGUAACUACAACGGUCCUAAAGUAGCGAAAUUCCUUGUCGGGUAAGUUCCGACCCGCACGAAAGGCGUAAUGAUUUGGAUACUGUCUCGGAGAGGGGCUCGGUGAAAUAGACUUGUCUGUGAAGAUGCGGACUACCUGCACCUGGACAGAAAGACCCUAUGAAGCUUUACUGUAACUUGAGAUUGAAAUUGGACUUUAUUUGCGCAGUAUAGGUGGGAGGCGUUGAGAAUAAUCUUGCGGGAUUGUUGGAGCCAUCAGUGAGAUACCACUCUUGUAAUGUUAGAUUUCUAACUUUGUAUCAUUAUCUGGUCAAAGAACAGUUUCAGGCGGGCAGUUUGACUGGGGCGGUCGCCUCCCAAAGGGUAACGGAGGCGCACAAAGGUUUCCUCUGAACGGGUAGAAGUCGUAUCUAGAGUGUAAAGGCAUAAGGAAGCUUGACUGUGAGACCUACAAGUCGAGCAGGGACGAAAGUCGGUCUUAGUGAUCUGACGGUGCUGAGUGGAAAGGCCGUCACUCAACGGAUAAAAGUUACUCUAAGGAUAACAGGCUGAUCUCCCCCAAGAGUUCACAUCGACGGGGAGGUUUGGCACCUCGAUGUCGGCUCAUCGCAUCCUGGGGCGGUAGUCCGUCCCAAGGGUUGGGCUGUUCGCCCAUGAAAGCGGUACGCGAGCUGGGUUCAGAACGUCGUGAGACAGUUCGGUCCAUAUCCGGUGUAGGCGUUAGAAUAUUGAGAGGAGCCUUCUCUAGUACGAGAGGACCGAGAAGGACAUACCUCUGGUGUACCAGUUAUCGUGCCAACGGUAAACGCUGGGUAGCUAUGUAUGGAGUGGAUAACCGCUGAAAGCAUCUAAGUGGGAAGCCCACCUCAAGAUAAGUAUUCUC